Molecule: long non-coding RNA, 431 nt
Organism: Humulus lupulus (European hop)
Lineage: Eukaryota; Viridiplantae; Streptophyta; Magnoliopsida; Rosales; Cannabaceae
Exons: 4
Source: RefSeq, a predicted model, not a curated record
AGGUGCUGGAUACAAUCUCCAUUUUGGUCGUGCUUGUUUGUUUUCAUAUCUCGACAUAACAAGAUGGUUGUUCUUGCUGCUUCCAUCGUAACCAAGUCUGGGAAAGUACUUGUUUCUAGACAAUUUGUGGACAUGUCUCGCAUAAGAAUAGAAGGUCUUCUUGCAACUUUCCCAAAGUUGAUAGGCACUGGAAAACAACAUACAUAUUUUGAGACAGAAAAUGUUCGCUAUGUUUACCAGCCUAUUGAAGCUUUGUACUUGUUACUUGUUACAAACAAAUAGAGCAAUAUUCUGGAAGAUUUGGAGACACUGCGACUGCUCUCAAAGCUUGUGCCGGAGUAUUCUAUGUCUCUAGAUGAAGAGGGUGUUUGCAUGACUGCUUUUGAGCUGAUUUUUGCUUUUGACGAGGUCAUCUCUCUUGGACACAAGGA